RNAcentral lists this ribosomal RNA (255 nucleotides) under uncultured bacterium. RNAcentral's name for it is "partial 16S ribosomal RNA". It matches the Rfam family "Bacterial small subunit ribosomal RNA", at positions 524 to 776 of the family's 1533-position model. The record is from RNAcentral.
UACGUAGGGGGGCAAGCGUUGUCCGGAAUCAUUGGGCGUAAAGAGCGUGUAGGCGGUUCAGUAAGUCUGCUGUGAAAGUCCAGGGCUCAACCCUGGGAUGCCGGUGGAUACUGUCGGGCUAGAGUGCGGAAGAGGCGAGUGGAAUUCCUGGUGUAGCGGUGAAGUGCGCAGAUAUCAGGAGGAACACCUAUUGCGAAGGCAGCUCGCUGGGACGUAACUGACGCUGGAGACGCGAAAGCGUGGGGAGCAAACAGG